This is a non-coding RNA of Microtus oregoni (creeping vole), 757 nucleotides long. The record is from the annotation of a RefSeq genome assembly. NCBI's taxonomy places the organism in Eukaryota, Metazoa, Chordata, Mammalia, Rodentia, Cricetidae.
AUGGAUCGUCAUGUAUUGACAUUCAGCUUUCUGCUAAUUAGUGUCACAGUGUCUGAGGGAGAAAUUGUUCUCACCCAGUCUCUAGCAUCCAUGACUGCAUCUCAAGAGGAGAAGGUCACCAUGACCUGCAGGGCCAGUUCAAGUAUAGUCUCCAGUCACUUGCACUGGUAUCAGCAGAAAUCUGGAGGCUCCCCUACACUCCUAGUUUAUGGCACAUCCAAACUGACUUCUGGAGUCCAAGCUGGCUUCUGUGGCAGUGGGUCUGGGACCUCUUACUCUCUCGCAAUCAGCAACUUUGAAGCUGAAGAUGUGGCCACUUAUUUCUCUCAACAGAGGCAUAGUAGCCCACCCACACAGUGAUAGAGUCUUGAACAAAAACUCUUUGCCUACCUGGAGCACAGAUACUUCCUCCUAGAGAUGAAACACGGCCUUAUGUUCUAUUGCAGUAAUCCAUAAAAUAAACGGCAAUUUACAGACUACUUACUAGGCCAUUUGCAGCUUUUGGUAAAUUAGUGUCUCCAUAAUAUCCCACUGUACUUCACUGUUGCUCUUGUUUGGCCACCAUUUGUUUAUUCUCUGUUUUGGUUCUAUUUUUGUUUCUAUGAUUUGUUGAUGGGAAGUGUAGCAGGCAUUUCCCUUCAGCUGUUUUACAGGAGAUCUCAUAGCAGUCUUCACACUUGGUUUAUUCUAAUUACACUGAUUGCAGGAUCUUAUCUGGCAGGUUGUUCUCCUUCAAGAUAGUCAGUUCCUAAAAGUA